This 1095-nucleotide long non-coding RNA is filed under the name Apteryx haastii (Great spotted kiwi). RNAcentral's name for it is "lncRNA (ENSAHAG00000018638.1)". Lineage: Eukaryota; Metazoa; Chordata; Aves; Apterygiformes; Apterygidae. The record is from RNAcentral.
AUGUUCAAAAGGACGAAAGUUGGUGAACGAUCGCCCUGCUCUCUCCCCAUGCCGCUGGCUUUGCACGCCAAAGUGUUUACAAACAGCUGCGGUAACAUCCCUGAGCUCCGAAGGAAAACACUCCUGGAGCGAAAGAGAGAUCUUAACACGGAAUACGUCCAGGAAUUUGGCGACCGGAGCCAGCGAUGCGUUCAGACGUUCCCCAUCGAGGCGCUGGGCCGCCGGGUGCGCGGGGUGCGCGGGCUUGUCGUGGCAGCAGCCGCGAGCGGCGCCGCGGGGCCCCGCCGGCGGGGAGGACAGGGGAAAUGCGGCCGCGCCGGCGCGCUGCGCCUUGGCGAUCGACUGCCCUCCCGGCCGGCGCAGGCAGCGGGGCGAAGCGCCCGCCCAACGGCGUUUCCCUGCAGGCUUCUCCCCGCUCCUGCUCCCGCCCCGCUGCACCCGCGGCUGCCGGCAGCAUCGGCACCAGGAGCCGCUUUCUCGCCCCGGAGGAAACGGUGGCUUGGCCACGCAACGGGGAGAAACCGCCCCACACGACGGGGCGAUGGGCCCCACGGGCGCAGCCCGGCUCUCCUUCGAAGCGUCCCGUCUCCGGAAGCAGCGUCCUGCUCUCCUAACUGGGGAGAAAGGGGUCCCCRUUCCCGGGGCGCGGAGCCCUCGGAAGGCGCUUUAACCAGCACAGCCAAGAUUAGAGAACACGGAUCAGAUGUUUUUCCUAUCAAAGCCUUUCCUUGCCUUUCUUCCUUUCCUUCCCCCCUCCCCACGGCCGUUUCRGGUCUCCGCUGGGCCGGGCUUCGCGAUGGCUGCGAACGCCGCGGCGCGGCCGCCUCUGCCCGGCGCGGUUUGGGUGGCCUGAGCCGCGACGUCCCCGAGGGCUGGUUGCAGGUGGUGGGCAGACAGGCCUGGAGCCUCGGCCGCACCACAGAGCCCGGGGAGAAAUGUGCUUCCCCGACCAGAAAAGCACAAUAUUAUAUUCUUAAAACAUUCCAGCCCCGUCUGGGUGUUCUCCGCGCGCAUUCCUGUGCGCGGGAUUAUUAUUGUAGAGAAUUUAUAAAGUCAUUCAUUUCGCUGGAAGUGUAUGACACGGGUUUUGGUUGA